CAAAAAAUAAAAAAUAUUUUUAUAUAUUUUUUUAAAAAAAUUACAUUUUUUUUAAUCUAUAACUGCUACUAAAAACAUCUAAAUUUAUCAUAACAAACAACUCUUCAUUCAUCUUCUUCUACAAAGAUUAAUUCUUCCUACUCUUACACUUUCAAUUUUAAUUUUUUUUCUCAACUUUCAAGUUUACUUUACAAAUAUUUUUAAUUUUUUUCAACAUUUUUUUUUACAAAAUCUCUCCUCAAUUUCACCACACAAAAUUUCAAUUUCAACACAAUAAUUAAUCUCUUUUUUUUUAUUUUUUUUAUUUUUAAAUAUUUUUAUUUAAUUAUUUUUAGUAUUAUUGUAUUUAUUUUUUAUAACAAUGUCGGAUGAAUUUUCUCAUAUAGAUUUUUCUUAUACUGAUUAUACUCAUGAAUAUUAUGUUAGUAAUCAAUCAGAAAUUGUGUCACGCCCCGGAUUACUCGUUUCCCCGGGCACGCCGACAAAUCCGCCGUAUACAAAAAAAAUUUUCCUGUAUACGAAGCGACAGCUGUACCUGUAAUCAAACAAUACUACAACCAAUAGUAUAGAGCUGUUAGAAGAAAUGAUAUAUAUAAAACAGAAGUUCACUAUACAUACAACAUCCUGGUGUACAAAACACUCGCUCCAGCGAGAUACAACAAAAGUAUGUAUAUGAACUCAAAAACUACCACUGCCUGUAGCUGAUAUACUCUAGCUCAGCAGCAACUGGGAAGGGAUCUAACUCGCAACUCCCUUUCCACGGUUCGUAUUAGCAGCAGCAGCAGCCGAAGAAGAAACCUCUGCAAAAGAUUCCAACAACUGGGCGUGAGAACUACUACAAAAGUAGUCCUCAGUAGGUACCGCUACCGACUUCAACGGCUCACCUACUAAGUCUACAGAUGUAAACAAGUAUAGUAAGAAAACUGAAAUAAAUCUACAGCUAUAUGCACCUAUACUAUCUUGGUCGAACACCAACAAUCUGUAGGAAAUAGUAAAGCCUGACCCAAUCUCACUAAGGACUGUGAACACACUCGUCCCGCCUG
This 1043-nucleotide long non-coding RNA is filed under the name Ananas comosus (pineapple). RNAcentral's name for it is "long non-coding RNA (ACOM_LNC001152)". Lineage: Eukaryota; Viridiplantae; Streptophyta; Magnoliopsida; Poales; Bromeliaceae. The record is from RNAcentral.